RNAcentral lists this non-coding RNA (238 nucleotides) under Selenomonas sputigena. RNAcentral describes it as "T-box sequence". It matches the Rfam family "T-box leader". From Rfam's summary of the family: Uncharged tRNA acts as the effector for transcription antitermination of genes in the T-box leader family. T-boxes are found upstream of many aminoacyl-tRNA synthetase genes and some amino acid biosynthetic genes usually in Gram-positive bacteria. Lineage: Bacteria; Bacillati; Bacillota; Negativicutes; Selenomonadales; Selenomonadaceae. The record is from RNAcentral.
GCAAAUGCGUUGCAGAGGAAUAGUAGGCGUCGUGGAAUGGAUAGAGAGCCGCUGGUUGGUGGAAAGCGGAGAGGAAGCGCCGUCGAACUCGCCUUGAAGCAGCUCGCUGAAACCGACAUGGAGUAGGCGGAGCCGGUGCCUGACCGUUAGAGCAGGAGGAUAUGAUGGUAUCCGUUAAAGUGCGCGCUUCGGCGCGAAAUUGAGUGGUAACACGUAAGCAUUGCCUUUCGUCUCUUUG